Long non-coding RNA from Bufo bufo (common toad), 130 nucleotides. RefSeq lists it as uncharacterized. The transcript is spliced from 3 exons. The record is from RefSeq and is a predicted model, not a curated record. NCBI's taxonomy places the organism in Eukaryota, Metazoa, Chordata, Amphibia, Anura, Bufonidae.
UCAGUAAGCAUCGUGGCGGCGGCUGUGCGGGCAUUAGGAGUGACGCAGGUGCCAGGGAGCAGGGUAAGUAUAACCUAUAUGAGGGCCCGGGCAUUAGGGCAGACAUUAUAGGGGUUGGAUAACCCCUUUA